CCUACGGGGGGCAGCAGUGAGGAAUAUUGGUCAAUGGGCGAGAGCCUGAACCAGCCAAGUCGCGUGAAGGAUGACGGCCCUACGGGUUGUAAACUUCUUUUGUCAGGGAGCAAUUGAGUCCACGUGUGGUCGUAGCGAGAGUACCUGAAGAAAAAGCAUCGGCUAACUCCGUGCCAGCAGCCGCGGUAAUACGGAGGAUGCGAGCGUUAUCCGGAUUUAUUGGGUUUAAAGGGUGCGUAGACGGAAUAUCAAGUCAGCGGUAAAGAUUCGGGGCUCAACCCCGUCGUGCCGUUGAAACUGAUGUUCUUGUGUGGGCGAGAAGUAUGCGGAAUGCGUGGUGUAGCGGUGAAAUGCAUAGAUAUCACGCAGAACUCCGAUUGCGAAGGCAGCAUACCAAUCUAUAUCUGACGUUGAGGCACGAAAGCGUGGGGAGCAAACAGGAUUAGAUACCCCUGUAGUC
This 460-nucleotide ribosomal RNA is filed under the name uncultured bacterium. RNAcentral describes it as "partial 16S ribosomal RNA". It matches the Rfam family "Bacterial small subunit ribosomal RNA", at positions 338 to 795 of the family's 1533-position model. The record is from RNAcentral.